This 253-nucleotide ribosomal RNA is filed under the name uncultured bacterium. RNAcentral describes it as "partial 16S ribosomal RNA". It matches the Rfam family "Bacterial small subunit ribosomal RNA", at positions 524 to 776 of the family's 1533-position model. The record is from RNAcentral.
UACGAAGGGGGCUAGCGUUGCUCGGAAUUACUGGGUGUAAAGCGCGUGUAGGCGGCAGACCAAGUGGGCGGUGAAAGCGCCCGGCUCAACUGGGCGAGGUCCGUGGAAACUGGUCAGCUGGAGGACGGUAGAGGCGAGUGGAAUUCCCGGUGUAGUGGUGAAAUGCGUAGAGAUCGGGAGGAACACCUGUGGCGAAGGCGGCUCGCUGGGCCGGUCCUGACGCUGAGACGCGAAGGCGUGGGGAGCGAACGGG